AUUGAACGCUGGCGGCAGGCCUAACACAUGCAAGUCGAACGAGCGGCGGACGGGUGAGUAAUGUAUGGGGACUGCCCGAUAGAGGGGGAUAACUACUGGAAACGGUGGCUAAUACCGCAUACUAUCGGAUAACCCAUAUGGGAUUAGCUAGUAGGUGGGGUAAAGGCUCACCUAGGCGACGAUCUCUAGCUGGUCUGAGAGGAUGAUCGGCAAAAUUGGACCUGAGACAGGGCCCAGACUCCUACGGAGGCAGAAGUGGGGAAUAUUGCACAAUGGGCGCAAGCCUGAUGCGGCCAUGCCGCGGGUAUGAAGAAGGCCUUAGGGUUGUAAAGUACGUUCAGCGGGGAGGCGUUACCCGCAGAAGAAGCACCGGCUAACUACGUGCCAGCAGCCGCGGUAAUUC
RNAcentral lists this ribosomal RNA (403 nucleotides) under uncultured bacterium. RNAcentral describes it as "partial 16S ribosomal RNA". It matches the Rfam family "Bacterial small subunit ribosomal RNA", at positions 30 to 526 of the family's 1533-position model. The record is from RNAcentral.